AUACAAAUAGGCUAAUUUUAAAGCUUUUAAACUCAUAAUUUAAAGAUAAAAAUUCUUUUUUUUGUAUA
Molecule: transfer RNA, 68 nt
Filed under: Rhynchium aff. brunneum GX
Lineage: Eukaryota; Metazoa; Arthropoda; Insecta; Hymenoptera; Vespidae
Also listed under: 1 other name
Description: tRNA-Met
Source: RNAcentral